GAUAAAUUAUACCAUCUCGUCCAACUGAACCUGACGUGGGAGGCCGCCAGAGACCAUUGCCAAUUGUAUUACUAUGACCUCGCUGUGAUUGAGUCUGCCGAGGAGAACGAAGAGCUCUAAGACAGAGAAGAACAAAGAUAACAAUGCAGUCCAGCUUGGAUCUGACAAACCCAAACGCUCAGGACAACAUCCUACUACAAAUGUCUGCACAUCUAGCCAGCACCGGAAUGACUGACUUCCACCUGAGCUGGAGCACUCCGCCACAGAAACCUGAUCCAACUGUCUGGAAGGCUGAUAAGGACCAAUGUUAAUGUUAGGUUCACAUAGUUGCAUGGCUUGAUCACUGGCUCCCGAUUCUUGAGUAGUAAAACUAUAUUUUAGUU
Molecule: long non-coding RNA, 383 nt
Filed under: Gadus morhua (Atlantic cod)
Lineage: Eukaryota; Metazoa; Chordata; Actinopteri; Gadiformes; Gadidae
Description: lncRNA (ENSGMOG00000023098.1)
Source: RNAcentral